Molecule: ribosomal RNA, 352 nt
Filed under: uncultured bacterium
Lineage: Bacteria
Description: bacterial SSU rRNA
Rfam family: Bacterial small subunit ribosomal RNA
Source: RNAcentral
AGAGUUUGAUCAUGGCUCAGGAUGAACGCUAGCUACAGGCUUAACACAUGCAAGUCGAGGGGAAACGACAUCGAAAGCUUGCUUUUGAUGGGCGUCGACCGGCGCACGGGUGAGUAACGCGUAUCCAACCUGCCCACCACUUGGGGAUAACCUUGCGAAAGUAAGACUAAUACCCAAUGACGUCUCUAGAAGACAUCUGAAAGAGAUUAAAGAUUUAUCGGUGAUGGAUGGGGAUGCGUCUGAUUAGCUUGUUGGCGGGGUAACGGCCACCAAGGCGACGAUGGAUAGGGGUUCUGAGAGGAAGGUCCCCCACAUCGGUACUGAGACACGGACCAAACUCCUACGGGAGGCA